RNAcentral lists this unclassified non-coding RNA (331 nucleotides) under Mollisia sp. RNAcentral describes it as "partial internal transcribed spacer region". The stretch from base 1 to 46 matches the Rfam family "Eukaryotic small subunit ribosomal RNA", at positions 1786 to 1831 of the family's 1831-position model. The record is from RNAcentral. Lineage: Eukaryota; Fungi; Ascomycota; Leotiomycetes; Helotiales; Mollisiaceae.
AAGUCGUAACAAGGUUUCCGUAGGUGAACCUGCGGAAGGAUCAUUAAAAAACGAUCACCGGUGUACCCAAGCGACGUCGAUUACUCGACCUUGUGGGGCUGUCCUAAACUCACAGCAUUACCAGUCGCGCGGGAUACUGAUGCCCUAGCCCUCGAGCUAGGGGCCGAGUGAAUCCCACCCGUGUCUACAUACUUUUGUUGCUUUGGCGGGCCGUGGCCUCCACUGUGGGCUCUGCCUGCAUGUGCCCGCCAGAGGAUCAAACUCUGAAUUUUAGUGAUGUCUGAGUACUAUAUAAUAGUUAAAACUUUCAACAACGGAUCUCUUGGUUCUG